RNAcentral lists this ribosomal RNA (433 nucleotides) under uncultured bacterium. RNAcentral's name for it is "partial 16S ribosomal RNA". It matches the Rfam family "Bacterial small subunit ribosomal RNA", at positions 29 to 507 of the family's 1533-position model. The record is from RNAcentral.
AACGAACGCUGGCGGCAUGCCUAACACAUGCAAGUCGAACGAGACCUUCGGGUCUAGUGGCGCACGGGUUCGUAACGCGUGGGAACCUGCCCUUAGGUUCGGAAUAACUCCCCGAAAGGGGUGCUAAUACCGGAUAAUGUCUUCGGACCAAAGAUUUAUCGCCUUUGGAUGGGCCCGCGUUGGAUUAGCUAGUUGGUAGGGUAAAAGCCUACCAAGGCGACGAUCCAUAGCUGGUCUGAGAGGAUGAUCAGCCACACUGGGACUGAGACACGGCCCAGACUCCUACGGGAGGCAGCAGUGGGGAAUAUUGGACAAUGGGCGAAAGCCUGAUCCAGCAAUGCCGCGUGAGUGAUGAAGGCAUUAGGGUUGUAAAGCUCUUUUACCCAGGAUGAUAAUGACGGUACCGGGAGAAUAAGCUCCGGCUAACUCCGUG